CCCGGUGAACAUAUCGCAGUGGAAACACCUGUUCCCAUCCCGAACACAGUAGUUAAGCACUGCGAGCCGAUGAUAGUGCCAAAAGCGUGAAAGUAGGUAUCGCCGGGA
This 108-nucleotide ribosomal RNA is filed under the name Candidatus Anammoximicrobium sp. Lineage: Bacteria; Pseudomonadati; Planctomycetota; Planctomycetia; Pirellulales; Pirellulaceae. The record is from RNAcentral.